Molecule: ribosomal RNA, 497 nt
Filed under: uncultured bacterium
Lineage: Bacteria
Description: partial 16S ribosomal RNA
Rfam family: Bacterial small subunit ribosomal RNA
Source: RNAcentral
GAUGAACGCUGGCGGCGUGCCUAAUACAUGCAAGUCGAGCGAACAGACGAGGAGCUUGCUCCUCUGACGUUAGCGGCGGACGGGUGAGUAACCCGUGGAUAACCUACCUAUAAGACUGGGAUAACUUCGGGAAACCGGAGCUAAUACCGGAUAAUAUAUUGAACGGCAUGGUUCAAUAGUGAAAGACGGUUUUGCUCUCACUUAUACAUGGAUCCGCGCCGCAUUAGCUAGUUGGUACGGUAACGGCUUACCAAGGCAACGAUGCGUAGCCGACCUGAGAGGGUGACCGGCCACACUGGAACUGAGACACGGUCCAGACUCCUACGGGAGGCAGCAGUAGGGAAUCUUCCGCAAUGGGCGAAAGCCUGACGGAGCAACGCCGCGUGAGUGAUGAAGGUCUUCGGAUCGUAAAACUCUGUUAUUGGGGAAGAACAAAUGUGUAAGUAACUAUGCGCGUCUUGACGGUACCUACUCAGAAAGCCCCGGCUAACUACGUG